This 396-nucleotide ribosomal RNA is filed under the name uncultured bacterium. RNAcentral's name for it is "bacterial SSU rRNA". It matches the Rfam family "Bacterial small subunit ribosomal RNA", at positions 28 to 422 of the family's 1533-position model. The record is from RNAcentral.
GAUGAACGCUAGCGGCAGGCUUAACACAUGCAAGUCGAACGGCAACACGGGUAGCAAUACCUGGUGGCGAGUGGCGCACGGGUGCGUAACGCGUAUGCAACCUGCCCCGCACAGUGGGAUAGCCCCGAGAAAUUGGGAAUAAUACCACAUGGAACCAUAAAGUGGCAUCACUUAAUGGUUAAAGGAAUCCGGUGCGGGAUGGGCAUGCGUGACAUUAGCUAGUUGGCGGGGUAACGGCCCACCAAGGCGACGAUGUCUAGGGGUUCUGAGAGGAUGAUCCGCCACACUGGAACUGAGACACGGUCCAGACUCCUACGGGAGGCAGCAGUGGGGAAUUUUGGACAAUGGGGGCAACCCUGAUCCAGCCAUGCCGCGUGAGUGAAGAAGGCCUGGUGU